This 437-nucleotide ribosomal RNA is filed under the name uncultured Oscillospiraceae bacterium. RNAcentral describes it as "bacterial SSU rRNA". It matches the Rfam family "Bacterial small subunit ribosomal RNA", at positions 341 to 792 of the family's 1533-position model. The record is from RNAcentral. Lineage: Bacteria; Bacillati; Bacillota; Clostridia; Eubacteriales; Oscillospiraceae.
ACGGAAGGCAGCAGUGGGGAAUAUUGGGCAAUGGGCGAAAGCCUGACCCAGCAACGCCGCGUGAAGGAAGAAGGUCUUCGGAUUGUAAACUUCUUUUAUGAGGGACGAAGGACGUGACGGUACCUCAUGAAUAAGCCACGGCUAACUACGUGCCAGCAGCCGUGUUAAUACGUAGGUGGCAAUCGUUAUCCGGAUUUAAUGGGUGUAAAGGGCGCGUAGGCGGGGAUGCAAGUCAGAUGUGAAAUCUAUGGGCUUAACCCAUAAACUGCAUUUGAAACUGUAUCUCUUGAGUGCUGGAGAGGUAGAGGGAACUCCUUGUGUAGCGGUGAAAUGCGUAGAUAAAAGGAAGAACACCAGUGGCGAAGGCGAUCUACUGGACAGUAACUGACGCUGAGGCGCGAAAGCGUGGGGAGCAAACAGGAUUAGAUACCCUGGUA